AUGCUGGCUGCCUGGUUUCGGCUGCAGCCUGCGCUCUCGUUGGGAUGCAUGUGGGAGAAGGAGCCGGUGAAUGGCGGCCCUUGUUUGUCCUCUCUUGAGGAAUCUAAUUAUGUAUCAAUUGAUUUCAAAGCCCACAACAGUAACUCUCUAGCAAACACUCACUCCCAGACAUUGUUCUCAUUUUCGCCCGGUCAUAAUUUAUUCACCUCCGGUCUCAGGGAGGUGGCAGCCCCCUCCCGACCCACCCCCCGUGCCCACCGCCCCCUCUCCUUGUGGCUCACCCUGCAAACCCCCCCCCGGGGGGGGGCCAAAACCCCCCGGGGCGAAGGGGGGGGGGGGGGGCUGCCAGCGGUCACCUGGCGCUGCAGGACGCCCCCUCCCCAAACCCCUGCCGCUCCCCCAGCUGCCGGGGGCACCGUGCGUGUGCCCCGCGUCCCCCCCGGCCCCUCACGGAGGGCAGGGCCCCGCGGGACCAGGCGGGGGGGGGGCUCCCCGCUCCGUCCCACCGCCGUCCCCUCACCGCCGGCCGCGAGCCUCCCGUCAGCGCCCUCCCGUCAGGCAGCGCCCGCCGGCGGGAGCGGCCGCGAGCCCCGAGGGGGGGGCGCGCGCCUCUUCCCGCGCGCGGGCGCGACCCCCGCGCCACUGCCCGCGCGCGGGACCGUGCACACCUGCGCGGAGGUGCGCGGGCAGAAACGCGCGCCGUAUUUUUUUUAUUUUUUUUUUGCAGGAGCAAGCGCGCACACACGCAUGUAUGCAUGCACACGCGUGCAUGCGCGUGCAGACGCGCACAUGCACGCGCCAACGCAUGCAUACGCACACGCGUGCACGCGUGCCCGUGCGCAAACACGCAUGCACAAACACAUGCACAAAUGCCCGCACAAACACACAUGCACACACAAACAUACACAAAGACACGUGCACGAACAGUCAUGCAUGCGCAAAUGCAUGCACGAGCCCGCACGCACAUCCAAAUGCACGCGCACAUGCACACACAUGCACACACACGCACGCAGCCGUGCACAGGCUCCCCCCCCCCCGCAGCAGUCCCCUCCGGCUCUGCACAGCCCCGGCGCUGCCCCCCCCCGGUACCUGCCGGCGGCCGGGGGCUGCAGCUGA
This 1116-nucleotide long non-coding RNA is filed under the name Anas platyrhynchos platyrhynchos (common mallard). RNAcentral describes it as "lncRNA (ENSAPLG00000018987.1)". The record is from RNAcentral. Lineage: Eukaryota; Metazoa; Chordata; Aves; Anseriformes; Anatidae.